This is a long non-coding RNA of Thamnophis elegans (Western terrestrial garter snake), 1408 nucleotides long. RefSeq lists it as uncharacterized. The transcript is spliced from 5 exons. The record is from RefSeq and is a predicted model, not a curated record. NCBI's taxonomy places the organism in Eukaryota, Metazoa, Chordata, Lepidosauria, Squamata, Natricidae.
UCUGAGCGAGGCGGGGGCGGGGCGCGAGCGGGGAAAAGCUGAGCAUGCCAACGGUAAACCGCCGAGCUCUGGAAUGGCACUAAACGCUGAUUCUUCUUGCUAUUGUAUUGCUUUCGUGGUGCUACAUCAUUUAUGCAACCCGAAUAGCAGCCAAAUGGCAACUGAAGGUACAGAAAUAAAUGCCUGGAUAUCUAUGGAAGAAUUGCCAAAAUGCAUAUAGUAUCCAGUGAAAAUUUGAAGUUAAACAGAUGUUCAAGUUAUUUGAGCUAUUCUGAAGAAAAAUCUGCAUCAUACUGCUUCUAUAAAAUCCAAGGUCAGCUACUUAAUCAGUACUAAUAGAUUCAAUGGAAGUGUCAAUAAUAUCUGCAAAACACCAAAAGUUGUCCCCAAACUACUGACCAAUAAAUCUACCGGCGAACAUUGUAAAUGACAGGAUUGGUCGCACUUUUUCAUUGCUGUCAUUACUGAAUGGUUGCUGCACAAGGCAGAUGACAAAAUCUACCUAUAGAUUUAGGAAGUGGUAUAUGCUUUUGCUACCUCCUGUGUCAAUCUCUUCUUGCAGAUUAAUGAUAACGACAAUACCAAAAUAAUGCUAUUCACUAACAAGCACAAGAGGGUAAAUUAUCACAACCAGAAGUUUAUCAGACAAUGAUUAUUUGACAAGGAAACUGGCCAGUCUCAUUGUAUUGAUGUCUUCUUAAAAAACCAGGUAUUCAGUCAUAAGGCUGUAGCAUUAAAGGAAAUGAAUGGCAGUUCAUGAGUAAGAAUAUGAAGUUUUUAGUAGGGGGAACCUACAUAAUACAACACUAAUCUAGUAAAGGCCAACCAUACCCUUGUGGUAUCAAUUAUUUUAUCUGGAUAAAUGGUAAUGUAUCACAUCUUAACCCAAAUGAGAAAUAUUAGCCUAUUGAUAUUUUGUGCAUACAUUACUUUUAACAAAUCAGUUCUUGGUUUAGUUUUUAAACUGAAAUAAGCAUGUAACAAAAACUAAACCAAAUCUGAUCAGGGCAAGUUUUUUUUUAAAUCUUUGGGGAAGGUUAUAUCAUGAUAUAGGAUUGAUCUGCAGUCAUUGCUUAAUGAAUUGAUGAUAUAGAGAACAAAGCCCAUGCCUUUCUAAAAUUGAAGACGUUAUCUAGUCAGAUAAUGAAACAAGCAAACAACCAAACUUAGAAAGCACCAAGGACUUCAAGGUCAUAUUUUAAUUAAUUUAUUUCAUAAAAUGACUUAUUCCUUAUGCCUUACAACAAAGUUAGAAACAAUAGUAAACAAUAACUAUUAAAACAUUAAAAACUAUAAAAACUAAGGCCUUUUCAUCCAGCUAUAUAAAGUAAACAAAAUGCAGAGAGACACCUAAAAUAUUGGUUAACAUACGAAGCAAAAACUUGUAACAAAGAGGAAAAAUAAGAUU